Alligator mississippiensis (American alligator) is the source of this 2056-nucleotide long non-coding RNA. RefSeq lists it as uncharacterized. The record is from RefSeq and is a predicted model, not a curated record. The transcript has 3 exons. Lineage: Eukaryota; Metazoa; Chordata; Crocodylia; Alligatoridae.
CCAGCUUCUAAAGAUGCAGAAUGAAUAUUUGCAGACAUGACACCUAGCCUGAUGAAAAGCAGCUCCAGCCGCCAUGGUUUCAAUUUUGCCACGAUUGGCUGCUGGCACGGUGUCCUGCCGCCUCUCCUCCGACUCAGGACAUUUUCGGCAUUUAUGAUCCCAAAGGAAUUGUACUCUUGGUUAUGUAGACACCUACUCAUGGGACAGCUAUUUACAGUUCGAGUCAUACAGACGGAGCAUAUGACCAUAGUACAUAUACACAUGCCCCUUACAGGCAUGCAGUGACUUUUGACACCUGAAAAUUGAAUCUGUUAAAGCCCAUGACUACCAGAUUUAGCCUAAGAAACAGAAAUGGUAGUGUAUGUUCCUCUUUGACUCUCAUAACUCAGGAAUUAAGACACCUAGGAAGCCAGAGGUGCUAGAUUCUAACCCCAUGUCUCCUUCAGUGUGUUUCAUGAUUUAGAUGCCUCCAAAGUGAUCAGACUUCUUUGCAGCUAAUUAGAAUUCUUCCCUUACAUUCCUAAAAGCCAUUUAAGCAACACUUAGACAUCUUGACUAUACCCCACCCACCAGCUCCUACUCUGUAUGUGCCAAACCCUGAAAUGAAAUGGUGAAACCAUAGCAUUUCCCCAUCACCGCUCUUGUGAUCUUAGCCUUCAACAUGGUCGAUAGAACUGUUGGGGCCAUCCUCAGCAUGGCUUUACUAUCACAUUUCUACAUCUGGAAUGUGCAAAGCUGGUUCUGGAAUGGAUUGUGAUUUUGAAACUCGCACCCCUUAGAGCAUUUAGGAAGUGGUGUAAACAUUGGAUCUGGGCAUUAGUGUGCACAAGUCCUAUGAAGAAUCUACAUUCUAGAUUCCAGGAAGUCUUUUCUCCAAUUUUUAUUAACAGUCUUUGAAUUGAAAUGGAUUUGUAUUUCAGAUGUUAACUCCUAAUGUGAUGUUGUAGUCCUCUAUGCAUUAUUUCACAAUAUUUUUUCUACAUUAUUAUGGUAUCAUAAGAAAAAAAAACAAUGAUUUCAAUUCAAGGGAAAAAAACCCAAAAGCUGCAUUUGUUCUUGCAAAAUUUAAAAAGCAAGAUUUUCUUGCCACAUGUAUACUUAUACCGAUAAAGCAGAAUAUACCAUAUCUUCAGGUGAUAUAAAUAUCCCAGAUUUAAUGGAGCUACACUGCUAUAUAGCAGCUGGAGAUUCUGUAUAAAUAGAAUGUGUGUUGCAGUUUAUCAUGACUUAUUGGUAGUAAUUUAAGUUUUCAAUAAUUACAGGGGAAAUAUAUAGUACAAAAAAUGCUGACAUACUCAUCAUAAAGCUUUGAUAUAUCAUCUCAUCACCCAAGGCCAAAGUGAUGUCACUGUGGUUACAACCCUUCAAAGUUGGCCAGUCAACAAUGCUAUGCUAAAUAUCAUGAGGAAAAAAGUAUGUGUAAGCCUCCUCAACAGAAAUGUUGAUUCUACUGAAGUGGGCUGAAUACUCAAAGGAGAAUGAGAAUUCAGAAAGCUCUGUCAUGCAUAAAUAUUACUCAUUUUUAUCCUUCAAAUAAUACAGCCAACAAGAAAAGAAAAUGAAACAACAAACCCAAACCUUCACAAUGACAAGGAAUGAAAAAUAAGAUCAAUGGGAGGGAGAUGCAUGUGACAUGAACAAGACUAAUAAUAAAGAAAUAUUUAAGAAACAACAUGUCUACAGAAAACUCAGCCUGAAUCAGAAAUCACACUGCUUUGUGACUCCAUAUAAGUUUGCUUGUUCUGUCAGCAAUGUAAUUGUCAGCCUCUUCAGAGUAAAUAGAUAAUAGAAAAUAGAUAUGCUUGCCUGAAGUUCACUUAAAGCCUAAACAUAUGCAACAUUAAAACAACCUCUCUUUCAUCCCUUUCAGCUUUCACUUCAGUUCCACAAAAGGUUUUUGCUCACUCAUGAGUGCAAAAUAGAAUUUGAAAAGAUCCCCACCUUUGCCCUAUAGGGCUGGAGCCAGAAGUGCGGGCAUGUGUGGCUUGUGACACUACAAGCAUCUUUGCAGUGCCACAAACCUCAUGAGCUGCACAUUAAUCAGUGCUGGCACCGG